Long non-coding RNA from Triplophysa rosa, 4825 nucleotides. RefSeq lists it as uncharacterized. The transcript has 3 exons. NCBI's taxonomy places the organism in Eukaryota, Metazoa, Chordata, Actinopteri, Cypriniformes, Nemacheilidae. The record is from RefSeq and is a predicted model, not a curated record.
UUGACAAGGGGCCUUAUAACAGCCACCUUAUAUGCUUUAGGCACAUGUCCUAAUGUCAGAGAUGAGUUAAUAAUACCAAGAAGAGGAUCUAUAAUUUCUGGGAGCAUCUCUUUCAGUAGAUUUGUAGGUAUAGGGUCUAGUAUGCAUGUUGUUGAUUUAGAUGAUCUAAUAAUUUUAGACAGCUCAUCUUGAUCUACGGUAUAAAAUAAUUGCAUUUUCUCCUUAAGGGCGCUGUAGUUAGUUUGUUCAGCGGGUUUCACUUCUGAUUGCAUUGUUAUAAUUUUUUCUCUAAUAUCUUGGAUUUUAUAUGUGAAGUAGUUCAUAAAUUCAUCACUGCUAUGCUGAUAUACAGGAUCAGAAGUCACUGACGAUUUAUUUUUUGUUAAUUUAGCCACUGUGUUAAAUAAAAACCUAUGUUGUGCUGGUUUUCUUCUAUUAGUGAUGAAAAGUAGGCGGAUCUAGAAGUUUUUAGGGCUUUCCUGUAUUUUCGAAUACUAUCCUUCCAUGCUGUACGAAAUACCUCUAAUUUAGUUUUCUUAAAGUUGCGCUCCAUUUUUCGGGCCGCUUUCUUUAGAGCCUGAGUGUGUUCAUUAUACCACGGUGAGGGGCUGCCAUUUUUAAUGUUCUUUAAACGUAGUGGAGCAACUGUGUCUAGCGUUACCGAGAAGGUGGAAUUAAAAUUUUCAGUGGUAAUGUCAAGAUCUUCAACGUUAUUUCUCAUGUUAGCGAUUUGAGACAAUUCGGGCAGAUUAUCGAGAAACGCAUUUUUGCUAGUUGAAAUUAUUGUUCUACAUAUUCGUAACAAUGAGUUUUAUUUGCAGCCGUAGGCCAGUGAAGCAAACAUAAUACCAGAUAAUGAUCCGAAAUGUCUUCACUCUGCUGAAGGAUUUUAACAUCGUCCACAUUUAUACCGUAAGACAUUAUUAAAUCUAAAGUAUGAUUACGAAGGUGAGUGGGUCCUGACACAUGUUGACUAAUGCCCAUGGAGUUAAGAGUGUCUUUGAAAGCCAUUCCUAAGGCAUCUGUAACGUUAUCUACAUGGAUGUUAAAGUCACCAACGACAAGGAGUCUAUCUGUGGCCAGUACUAGUUCUGAUAAGAACCCACCAAAUUCUUUAAUAAAAUCUGUGUGGUGCACUGGAGGCCUAUAUACAAUAGCUAGAAUAAAUUUUAAAAGUGUUUUAUCCUUAGUAUUAGGUGUUGAAACAUGAAGAACCAUGACUUCAAAAUAAUUAUAUUUAGAGUUCGACUUCUGGUAAAUGAUAAAAGAGUUAUUGUAAAGUGCUGCGACACCUCCCCUUCUGCCUUUUAGACGAGGCUCAUGUUUAUAGUAAUAAUCUUGGGGGACAGAUUCAUUUAAAGUAAUAUAAUCAUCUGGUUUUAGCCAUGUUUCUGUCAAACAGAGCAUGUCUAUUUUAUGAUCUGUUAUCAUAUCGUUAACAAAAAGUGCUUUAUUAGAGAGAGAUCUAAUAUUUAGCAAUCGGAGUCGUAACAGUUGGUUAUCUGUAUUUUGUUCAUGUUUAGUUUGUUUAACGUUUAUUAAAUUACUUUCAAGAGGUUUAUGCAUUAUUUUAUGUUUGCUAAUCCGGGGGACAGACACAGUCUCUAUUUUGUGAUGUUUGGGAGAACAGAUUAUUACAUGUUGUACAUUUUGUGUAUUCUGCGACGUGAGACGGCAAGCAGACAGUUGGUUAAGCCAUUCUGUCUGCUCCCUGACCUGGGCCCCAGCGAGUCAAGCUUUAGCAUUAGCAUUAUUAAGACUUUUUGCCAUAUUUCUAGACAGGAUGGAAGCCCCAGCCCAGGAGGGAUGGAGACCAUCUCGUUUCAACAGGUCAGGUCUGCCCUCAAAACUCUUCAAUCAAGAUACCUCUAACAUUAAAGGGGACAUUCUUUUUCUGUUUUUGAAGCUUUGAUUAUGUUUUUUUAACAGUGGAUGUUCAUGUUUCUAGUUUAAAAAAAAACUUUAUAUUUCACAAAUUUCAAGUCUAUUGUUCACCGCUGUCCCUCUUCUCACAAAACACCUGGAUUUUUUCCGGUUUAUAUAAAGUCCCUCCUUCCGAAACGCUCUGAUAGGUAAAGCUGAUCUGGUCUGUCGUGAUUGGUUCCCCGCUUAGAGCGUGUGUCUGAAGAUGUCCCACCCACACCAUAUAUCAUCGAGCUUCCACUUCUCAGGCUGUUGUGAUUGGUCGGUGCACGUGUAUUUAUAAGCUUUGGCUUUCAGCAAUAAUCAGUAACAAUGGCGUCAACUUCACUUCAUCAGUUAAAAACAUGAUCGAUCGAAGUGUAACGGAGGUCUGCUAGUGCAUGUGUAAACGUCAAUCUUUAUUUAGAGAUCGCGAUUUUUUCCUACUAUGGCGAGGGAAAUGACACCGGACCGAUUGGGUAAGACCGAUUAUAUUUAUUAAUGCUAAUAACAGAAACGUUAGUUUUUCCUUUUUAUAUUGGACCUAAGUUGGAUAAUUAAACAAGCAGAUUGACUAGGAGACAUUUGCAAGCAGGACAUACGUUUCAUAGAAGUGUUUUAGAGGUAUACACACACACGCACGCACGCACGCACGCACGCACGCACACACACACACACACACACACACACACACACACACAAUAUCAGUGUGUUAAACAGAACAGUUUUCACAGCCGAUGUUAAAGUCAUAUUUGACCGUUGGUUAUCUUAGAAUGUGUGUAGCAGAAUUCUUAUUAUAAAACGGUCAGUUCUGGUCCUUGAUUCUGAUUGGCUGAGCGGAGUUCUAAACCGUGAUAAAAUAACCCAGUAACCCGCUGCUUCUUGGGGUUUAUUGCUUUAUUACCAGCUGUAGGACUGUGAUGGAAGUGAAAGUAAUUAAGCACGAAGCUCAGUCAAAUGUUUACAAUCUCUGAUAACCAAACACUACUCCAGCGACUCUUCCUAUUCUCUAAGGAAGGCUUCGCCCUUUUUUGGCGUAUUCCUUUGGGUGGAGGUUUUUCAAAAACUCGGAUUAGUGACAUAAUUUACCCCGGAAGUAAAGUGCUGUAGUCCGAUUCCAACCGUUCUCUGUAGUCCUUGAAAAGCAAAUUCUGUUAAAGACAAUAUCUCGCUUGGAAUUGAACUUUGAGCUUUUUCAUUUUGCAGAUAAUGUUUAUGCUCUAACAGCAACAUUACACACUAACUAAAGUUUGAAAAUUGGCAUCACGGGGAAUGGCCCCUUUAAAGUUAAUCUGGGACUAGGUUUAAACCCUGUCCAGGAAACCGCCCCAUAGACUACUAGGGCCUACUACCUUGGUUCUAGCCUUGCAGGAUUAGUAAACUUCUCCCUCUGCACCCAAACAAAAAAGAUUAAAGUAUUUAAAGUAAUGAUAAGACAUGCUAUAGUACUUUGUAAUGAUUAACAUGAGUUUGAUUACAAGUGACUCCUCUCAAAUGCUCCAUCUGGUUUUAUAAUGUGACACUGUCUUUCUAUAUCUAUGUGAAUGCAUACUGUUGCUGAUUAAGACAAUUAAAGUUACUAAAAACUGAUCUAAAUAGGGGGAUUUUCAAGCCUUUUGUAAUUGCUGAGAAAAAGAAAUGUCACCAGGUGAGCUGAGAGCUGGUAGAGAUAGAAAGAGCUCACCAAUAAAAGUGCUCUUUUGCGCUCUCUAGUGACUAACAUUACAGCAAUAAAUAGACUCCUUUCGAACAUUCAGAGGGACUCAGCGGGAAAAAAACCGAUAACCUUCAGAAAUUUUCAGAAGCAGUGCAGACCUGAACACAUCUUCACACUAUGUAUGGAAGCUAGUUAGAGACUAUGGGCCAAAUCGUGAAAUAUUUUCAUUUUUGAGAUGCAGAAAGCCAUACUCCUUUGUGAAUAUGCAUGUUUUGGGUAGCUGAGAAGACUUGGCGCCACCUUUAAUGGCCCAUGACGGGAGUCAUUGUUAUUGUAACAGAGAUAACACAGAGUUACAUGCCAAUCGAAUGCUCCUUCCCACCUCUAUUUCUACAGUAAAAGGCCGAAGCAAUAGUUUGAUGGUAAAGUCACGUGAAUGUGUUCAGAUGGGGCGGAUCUACAUAAUCAUAUAGAAGUCUGUGGCGUUAUAAAGCCACAGGAAUUUGAAUAGAGUAGCAGAUCUGUGUGAACGGGAGGAAGGACCCACGCAGCGGGGAUGUUCUGCAUCGGUUGAAAUGCACAGCGGUACGUAUCCUUGCGCCAAUGAGAGGAAAACAAAGAUAUCUAACCAGAGACGUAGCGGGGACAUCUCUAUUCGCAUCCGGACCAUUCUCUAUGGUGGUGUCAUUUCUCAUCGGGAUCCCUGGAUCUUGCGUCUGUUUUAGACACAUCUGUCUGGAUAAUCAGGACGCUAUUUCAUCAUCUGAUUCUCUGUUCAAGUAUUAUGGACUCAUUGAAAUGUUCAGCUGACGGUCCGAGUGCGACUUUACUGAAGAAUGUGGCAUGGAAUUUCUCGUAAUACCAAUGUCUCCCUCUCUUUUGAUUGGAACGCAAACUGUUUCUACGGACUUUGGAUAAUCUUGUAUGGUUAUUAUUUUUUCUUUUCCCUGAUCUGGCGUGAAUUUAGGAUGCUGUGUCUGUCUCCUACAGUAACCCACAACCUGUUAUUCUGGUUUUUAAUUCUCCAAACACCACAAUUAACUGUACCUUUAAUCAUAGGUACAGAAGCUAGCUGUGAAAACGAGGGAGAAGUAUUACACAUCCCCAACAUCACAGACAACCCCUGUAUCUCCUGUGUCUGUCUGGAUAAAAAAGCUGACUGUAAACAAGAAAGGUGCCUGCUUGUGGCAGAGGACUGUGCGCUUGUGGUCAAACAGACGGGAGCCUGCUGUGAAAAAUGCAAAGGUCAAUUCAAACACACUUAAU